RNAcentral lists this ribosomal RNA (307 nucleotides) under uncultured Syndiniales. RNAcentral describes it as "SSU rRNA". It matches the Rfam family "Eukaryotic small subunit ribosomal RNA", at positions 354 to 664 of the family's 1831-position model. Lineage: Eukaryota; Dinophyceae; Syndiniales. The record is from RNAcentral.
GACGGGUAACGGAGAAUUAGGGUUUGAUUCCGGAGAGGGAGCCUGAGAAACGGCUACCACAUCUAAGGAAGGCAGCAGGGCGCCAAAUUAUCUCAUCCUGACACAGGGAGGUAGUGACAAGAAAUACCAGUGUGAGGGCUUCUGUCUUGGAAUUGGAAUGAGAACAAUUUAAAUCCCUUACCGAGUAUCAAUUGGAGGGCAAGUCUGGUGGCCGCAGCCGCGGUAAUUCCAGCUCCAUAGCGUAUAUUAAAGUUGUUGCGGUUAAAAAGCUCGUAGUUGGAGUUCUGCCAGGUGACGCUCGUCCGCC